This 72-nucleotide transfer RNA is filed under the name Stegodyphus mimosarum. It matches the Rfam family "tRNA". Rfam says of the family: Transfer RNA (tRNA) molecules are approximately 80 nucleotides in length. Their secondary structure includes four short double-helical elements and three loops (D, anti-codon, and T loops). Lineage: Eukaryota; Metazoa; Arthropoda; Arachnida; Araneae; Eresidae. The record is from Rfam by way of RNAcentral.
GCCUUCGUGGUUUAACGGUAGCACACUCGGUAGCGUAUUCCAGAGGUCCAGGUUCGAGUCCCGGUGAGGGCA